UACAGGGGGUGCAAACGUUGCUCGGAAUCAUUGGGCGUAAAGCGCACGUAGGCGGACUCUUAAGUCGGUGGUGAAAUCCUGGAGCUCAACUCCAGAACUGCCUUCGAUACUGAGAGUCUCGAGUCCGGGAGAGGUGAGUGGAACUGCGAGUGUAGAGGUGAAAUUCGUAGAUAUUCGCAAGAACACCAGUGGCGAAGGCGGCUCACUGGCCCGGUACUGACGCUGAGGUGCGAAAGCGUGGGGAGCAAACGGG
RNAcentral lists this ribosomal RNA (253 nucleotides) under uncultured bacterium. RNAcentral's name for it is "partial 16S ribosomal RNA". It matches the Rfam family "Bacterial small subunit ribosomal RNA", at positions 524 to 776 of the family's 1533-position model. The record is from RNAcentral.